Molecule: long non-coding RNA, 172 nt
Organism: Dendronephthya gigantea
Lineage: Eukaryota; Metazoa; Cnidaria; Anthozoa; Malacalcyonacea; Nephtheidae
Exons: 3
Source: RefSeq, a predicted model, not a curated record
GUUGGACAUUCAUGUUAAACUAAUAGUAAGUGAGACAACAGACGAUGAACAGUUUGGGAAAUUACUGGAGAAAGUUGCAGUCUACCACGACCACUAGCUUGACCUAUGCAUGGGAGCAACUCAUGAAGUCUGUUAUUUGUGUGUCUAGAAAUCGGUCAUUGCAUUUAUCGAU